AUUGAACGCUGGCGGAAUGCUUACACAUGCAAGUCGAACGGUAGAGGGGGCAACCCCUCGAGAGUGGCGAACGGGUGAGUAAUAUAUCGGAACGUGCCCAGUCGUGGGGGAUAACGUAGCGAAAGUUACGCUAAUACCGCAUACGAUCUAAGGAUGAAAGCGGGGGAUCGCAAGACCUCGCGCGAUUGGAGCGGCCGAUAUCAGAUUAGGUAGUUGGUGGGGUAAAGGCUCACCAAGCCAACGAUCUGUAGCUGGUCUGAGAGGACGACCAGCCACACUGGAACUGAGGCACGGUCCAGACUCCAACGGGAGGCAGCAGGGGGGAAUUUUGGACAAUGGACGCAAGUCUGAUCCAGCCAUUCCGCGUGCAGGAUGAAGGCCCUCGGGUUGUAAACUGCUUUUGUACGGAACGAAAAGGUCUCUCUUAAUACGGGGGGCUCAUGACGGUACCGUAAGAAUAAGCACCGGCUAACUACGUGCCAGCCGCCGCCGUAA
RNAcentral lists this ribosomal RNA (495 nucleotides) under uncultured bacterium. RNAcentral's name for it is "partial 16S ribosomal RNA". It matches the Rfam family "Bacterial small subunit ribosomal RNA", at positions 30 to 523 of the family's 1533-position model. The record is from RNAcentral.